UACGUAGGGGGCAAGCGUUGUCCGGAUUCAUUGGGCGUAAAGAGCGUGUAGGCGGCCAGGUAGGUCGGUUGUGAAAACUGGAGGCUCAACCUUCAGAGGUCGACCGAAACCAUCUGGCUAGAGUCCGAGAGAGGAGAGUGGAAUUCCUGGUGUAGCGGUGAAAUGCGCAGAUAUCAGGAAGAACACCCGUGGCGAAGGCGGUUCUCUGGGACGGUACUGACGCUGAGACGCGAAAGCGUGGGGAGCGAACAGG
Molecule: ribosomal RNA, 253 nt
Filed under: uncultured bacterium
Lineage: Bacteria
Description: partial 16S ribosomal RNA
Rfam family: Bacterial small subunit ribosomal RNA
Source: RNAcentral